GACGAACGCUGGCGGCGUGCUUAACACAUGCAAGUCGAACGGAAAGGCCCUGCUUUUGUGGGGUGCUCGAGUGGCGAACGGGUGAGUAACACGUGAGUAACCUGCCCUUGACUUUGGGAUAACUUCAGGAAACUGGGGCUAAUACCGGAUAGGAGCUCCUGCUGCAUGGGGGGGGUUGGAAAGUUUCGGCGGUUGGGGAUGGACUCGCGGCUUAUCAGCUUGUUGGUGUGGUAGUGGCUUACCAAGGCUUUGACGGGUAGCCGGCCUGAGAGGGUGACCGGCCACAUUGGGACUGAGAUACGGACCAGACUCGUACGGGAGGCAGCAGUGGGGAAUAUUGCACAAUGGGCGCAAGCCUGAUGCAGCAACGCCGCGUGCGGGAUGACGGCCUUCGGGUUGUAAACCGAUUUCGCCUGUGACGAAGCGUGAGUGACGGUACUGGGUAAAGAAGCACCGGCUAACUACGUG
RNAcentral lists this ribosomal RNA (468 nucleotides) under uncultured bacterium. RNAcentral describes it as "partial 16S ribosomal RNA". It matches the Rfam family "Bacterial small subunit ribosomal RNA", at positions 28 to 507 of the family's 1533-position model. The record is from RNAcentral.